AAGAACAAGAAGGGGAGCCGCAAGGCUGAGAGGAAGAUUAUGCUUCGACCCUUAUACCUGAUUUGGAUAAUGCCAACGUAGGAAUCUUUUGGGACUUCUUU
Lachnospiraceae bacterium 2_1_46FAA is the source of this 101-nucleotide regulatory RNA element. It matches the Rfam family "TPP riboswitch aptamer (THI element)". From Rfam's summary of the family: Vitamin B(1) in its active form thiamin pyrophosphate (TPP) is an essential coenzyme that is synthesised by coupling of pyrimidine and thiazole moieties in bacteria. The record is from Rfam. Lineage: Bacteria; Bacillati; Bacillota; Clostridia; Lachnospirales; Lachnospiraceae.